CCUACGGGAGGCAGCAGUGAGGAAUAUUGGUCAAUGGACGAGAGUCUGAACCAGCCAAGUCGCGUGAAGGAUGACUGCCCUAUGGGUUGUAAACUUCUUUUAUAUGGGAAUAAAAUGUUCCACGUGUGGGAUUUUGUAUGUACCAUAUGAAUAAGCAUCGGCUAACUCCGUGCCAGCAGCCGCGGUAAUACGGAGGAUCCGAGCGUUAUCCGGAUUUAUUGGGUUUAAAGGGAGCGUAGGGGGAUUGUUAAGUCAGUUGUGAAAGUUUGCGGCUCAACCGUAAAAUUGCAGUUGAAACUGGCAGUCUUGAGUAUAGUAGAGGUGGGCGGAAUGCGUGGUGUAGCGGUGAAAUGCUUAGAUAUCACGAAGAACUCCGAUUGCGAAGGCAGUUCACUGGACUGCAACUGACACUGAGGCUCGAAAGUGUGGGUAUCAAACAGGAUUAGAUACCCCUGUAGUC
RNAcentral lists this ribosomal RNA (460 nucleotides) under uncultured bacterium. RNAcentral describes it as "partial 16S ribosomal RNA". It matches the Rfam family "Bacterial small subunit ribosomal RNA", at positions 338 to 795 of the family's 1533-position model. The record is from RNAcentral.